Molecule: ribosomal RNA, 207 nt
Filed under: uncultured bacterium
Lineage: Bacteria
Description: partial 16S ribosomal RNA
Rfam family: Bacterial small subunit ribosomal RNA
Source: RNAcentral
UGUGCAGGCGGGCCUGUGCGUCAGGGGUUAAAUACUUCGGCUUAACCGAAGAACAGCCCUUGAUACGGCAGGUCUUGAGUGCGAGAGAGGAUAGUAGAAUUCCUGGUGUAGCGGUGAAAUGCGUAGAUAUCAGGAGGAAUACCAGUGGCGAAGGCGGCUAUCUGGCUCGUUACUGACGCUCAGGCACGAAAGCGUGGGGAGCAAACA